RNAcentral lists this ribosomal RNA (705 nucleotides) under uncultured eukaryote. Its description in RNAcentral is "bacterial SSU rRNA". It matches the Rfam family "Archaeal small subunit ribosomal RNA", at positions 455 to 1156 of the family's 1478-position model. The record is from RNAcentral.
GUGCCAAGCAGCCGCGGUAAAACCAGCACCUCAAGUGGUCAGGAUGAUUAUUGGGCCUAAAGCAUCCGUAGCCGGCUCUGUAAGUUUUCGGUUAAAUCUGUACGCUCAACGUACAGGCUGCCGGGAAUACUGCAUAGCUAGGGAGUGGGAGAAGUAGACGGUACUCGGUAGGAAGUGGUAAAAUGCUUUGAUCUAUCGAUGACCACCUGUGGCGAAGGCGGUCUACUAGAACACGUCCGACGGUGAGGGAUGAAAGCUGGGGGAGCAAACCGGAUUAGAUACCCGGGUAGUCCCAGCUGUAAACUAUGCAAACUCAGUGAUGCAUUGGCUUGUGGCCAAUGCAGUGCUGCAGGGAAGCCGUUAAGUUUGCCGCCUGGGAAGUACGUACGCAAGUAUGAAACUUAAAGGAAUUGGCGGGGGAGCACCACAAGGGGUGAAGCCUGCGGUUCAAUUGGAGUCAACGCCAGAAAUCUUACCCGGAGAGACAGCAGAAUGAAGGUCAAGCUGAAGACUUUACCAGACAAGCUGAGAGGUGGUGCAUGGCCGUCGCCAGCUCGUGCCGUGAGAUGUCCUGUUAAGUCAGGUAACGAGCGAGAUCCCUGCCUCUAGUUGCCACCAUUACUCUCAGGAGUAGUGGGGCGAAUUAGCGGGACCGCCGCAGUUAAUGCGGAGGAAGGAAGGGGCCACGGCAGGUCUGUGAUGCCC